GAAUAGGACGUAUGGUUCUAUUUUGUUGGUUUCUAGGACCAUCGUAAUGAUUAAUAGGGACAGUCGGGGGCAUCAGUAUUCAGUUGUCAGAGGUGAAAUUCUUGGAUUUACUGAAGACUAACUACUGCGAAAGCAUUUGCCAAGGAUGUUUUCAUUAAUCAAGAACGAAAGUUAGGGGAUCGAAGACGAUCAGAUACCGUCGUAGUCUUAACCAUAAACUAUGCCGACUAGGGAUUGGGCGACGUUCUAUUAUGACUCGCUCAGCACCUUACGAGAAAUCAAAGUUUUUGGGUUCUGGGGGGAGUAUGGUCGCAAGGCUGAAACUUAAAGGAAUUGACGGAAGGGCACCACCAGGAGUGGAGCCUGCGGCUUAAUUUGACUCAACACGGGGAAACUCACCAGGUCCAGACACAAUAAGGAUUGACAGAUUGAGAGCUCUUUCUUGAUUUUGUGGGUGGUGGUGCAUGGCCGUUCUUAGUUGGUGGAGUGAUUUGUCUGCUUAAUUGCGAUAACGAACGAGACCUUAACCUACUAAAUAGCUCGAUCAGCUUUGGCUGAUUAUUAGCUUCUUAGAGGGACUAUCGUUUUCAAGACGAUGGAAGUUUGAGGCAAUAACAGGUCUGUGAUGCCCUUAGACGUUCUGGGCCGCACGCGCGCUACACUGACGGAGCCAACGAGUACAUAACCUUGGCCGAGAGGCUUGGGUAAUCUUGUUAAACUCCGUCGUGCUGGGGAUAGAGCAUUGCAAUUAUUGCUCUUCAACGAGGAAUUCCUAGUAAGCGCAAGUCAUCAGCUUGCGUUGAUUACGUCCCUGCCCUUUGUACACACCGCCCGUCGCUACUACCGAUUGAAUGGCUUAGUGAGGCCUCCGGAUUGGCUCCAGGAAAUGGGCAACCAUUACCAGGAGCUGAAAAGCUGGUCAAACUUGGUCAUUUAGAGGAAGUAAAAGUCGUAACAAGGUUUCCGUAGGUGAACCUGCGGAAGGAUCAUUAACGAAUUAUGUUCUUCGGAAACAAUUUCAUCCUUACACACCUGUGAAUUUUUAAAAUUAACUUUUGCUUUGGUCAGGCUUUUUUAAGCUUGGCCAGAGGUAUACAAACUCCAAAUUUUUUUUUAAAACAUGAGUCUGAAAUUGAAAAAGAAUAAAAAUUAUUCAAAACUUUCAACAACGGAUCUCUUGGUUCUCGCAUCGAUGAAGAACGCAGCGAAAUGCGAUAAGUAAUGUGAAUUGCAGAAUUUCGUGAAUCAUCGAAUCUUUGAACGCACAUUGCGCCCCUUGGUAUUCCAGGGGGCAUACGUGUAUGAGCGUCAUUUCUCUCUUAAACCCUCGGGUUUAGUGUUGAAUCUAAUUCCUCUUUUAUUUUAGGGAGGAUGAUUCGAAAUGAAAUGGCAAGGCAAUCCAGUCUAAAGCUUACACAGUGUCUUAGGUUUUACCAAUUACGCUGGGCAAAAGCUGCUUGGAUGAGCCGGGCGGUACAAACUUAUUUCAAAAGUUUGACCUCAUACACGUAAGAAUACCCGCUGAACUUAAGCAUAUCAAUAAGCGGAG
RNAcentral lists this ribosomal RNA (1549 nucleotides) under Trichomonascus sp. RNAcentral describes it as "bacterial SSU rRNA". The stretch from base 1 to 992 matches the Rfam family "Eukaryotic small subunit ribosomal RNA", at positions 820 to 1831 of the family's 1831-position model. Lineage: Eukaryota; Fungi; Ascomycota; Dipodascomycetes; Dipodascales; Trichomonascaceae. The record is from RNAcentral.